UACCCGCUGAACUUAAGCAUAUCAAUAAGCGGAGGAAAAGAAACUAACAAGGAUUCCCCUAGUAACGGCGAGUGAAGAGGGAAAAGCUCAAAUUUUGAAUCCGACGUCUUCGGCGUCCGAGUUGUAAUCUAGAGAAGUGUUUUCCGUGUCGGACCGUGCACAAGUUCCCUGGAACGGGGCGUCAUAGAGGGUGAGAAUCCCGUACGUGGCACGGACUCCCGGUGCUCUGCGAUACACUCUCAACGAGUCGAGUUGUUUGGGAAUGCAGCUCAAAAUGGGUGGUAAAUUCCAUCUAAAGCUAAAUAUUGGCGAGAGACCGAUAGCGAACAAGUACCGUGAGGGAAAGAUGAAAAGCACUUUGGAAAGAGAGUGAAACAGUACGUGAAAUUGUUGAAAGGGAAGCGUUUGAAGUCAGUCGCGUCUGUCGGGGUUCAGCCUGGCUUCUGCCUGGUGUAUUCCCUGUCCGACGGGUCAGCAUCAGUUUCUGCCGAGAGAGAAAGGCUUGGGGAAUGUGGCCGUCUUCGGGCGGUGUUAUAGCCCUCUGUCAUAUGUCUCGGUGGGGACUGAGGACUGCAGCGCGCCUUAUGGCCGGGGUUCGCGCCCUCGGUACGCGCU
This 615-nucleotide ribosomal RNA is filed under the name uncultured Sebacinales. RNAcentral describes it as "eukaryotic LSU rRNA". It matches the Rfam family "Eukaryotic large subunit ribosomal RNA", at positions 22 to 607 of the family's 3401-position model. The record is from RNAcentral. Lineage: Eukaryota; Fungi; Basidiomycota; Agaricomycetes; Sebacinales.